GUUGUUUCAUUGGCACUCACACCACAUCUUCCUAUAUCUAAUAACCAAUACAACAGUGAACUACAUUUCAUUUUGGCUACAUAACCACACAAUUUGAACUUCAUGACCUGCCCCCACCCAUAAUAAAAUAUUUUAAGUGCCUUUCAACUUAGAGAUAUUGUUAAGGGAUACCCAUCAAUAAGACAGCAACCAAAAGACACACACACACACACACACACAAUAUACACCUGGUAGUUAACAAAGUCUUCAUAAAUAGACAGCUGUGUAAUGAAUGCAUUGUCAAGUCUAUUUCAUUUCAUAUUGACAGGUUGUGUACAUUAAUGUAAUCAAUUUUGGUAACAAACAUGUAUACAA
RNAcentral lists this long non-coding RNA (354 nucleotides) under Mytilus galloprovincialis (Mediterranean mussel). Lineage: Eukaryota; Metazoa; Mollusca; Bivalvia; Mytilida; Mytilidae. The record is from RNAcentral.